CAUUUUAUUUUCUUCAAUCUGACCACUAAUAUUACAGAAAAAUACUAUUCUGCAAUCAAUAAUUAACAUCAGAUGAGUCCAAACUUCUCAACAGCCUUGUUAUGGCAGCAGAUUCAAACUGUUCCAAUGUCGACUGUAUUUGGCUGCCAAGGAGUUGUUAGUUGGUGUCCUGAAGACAACCUCAUUGGACUCUGUACCAGCCCACAUGGAUUGUAACCUUCUUGUUGAUUUGCUGGUGAUAGCUGAUUUUGAGAAGCAGAUGAUCCCCUAUCUAUCACCU
Molecule: long non-coding RNA, 280 nt
Filed under: Mytilus galloprovincialis (Mediterranean mussel)
Lineage: Eukaryota; Metazoa; Mollusca; Bivalvia; Mytilida; Mytilidae
Source: RNAcentral